ACCAACGCCAAUGCUCAGAUGAUUUUGCAACUCUUGCAAGAACGCAUCCAAGGGCAAGGCAAUCAAGGAAAUCAAGUCCAAGGCAACAAUCAGCCUCACUUCGCUACCCUCAACCAGUUCCUCGCAAGUCAUCCCAAGUCUUUCAGCUACUGUGCCGAGGCCACAGACGCCGAUGAUUUGCUCGUGGACAUCAACAAGCAUUUUGAAUGUAGCAAUGUCAGGCCUGAGGACUUUGUCAAGUUUGCUUCUUUUCAACUCAAGGAUCAAGCUGCCGAGUGGUAUCAACAAUACAAAGAUUCCACAGGAGGUCGUGUGAUUACCUGGGAUGAUUUCCGCCGAGACUUCAAAGCUCACCACAUUCCACAAAGUGUUGUUGAGAGCAAGCGUGAGGAGUUCCGCAAUCUCAAGCAAGGCAUCAUGUCCGUGUAUCAAUACAAUACUCAG
RNAcentral lists this ribosomal RNA (444 nucleotides) under Triticum aestivum (bread wheat). RNAcentral describes it as "partial small subunit ribosomal RNA". Lineage: Eukaryota; Viridiplantae; Streptophyta; Magnoliopsida; Poales; Poaceae. The record is from RNAcentral.